This 498-nucleotide ribosomal RNA is filed under the name uncultured bacterium. RNAcentral's name for it is "partial 16S ribosomal RNA". It matches the Rfam family "Bacterial small subunit ribosomal RNA", at positions 30 to 523 of the family's 1533-position model. The record is from RNAcentral.
AUUGAACGCUGGCGGCAUGCCUUACACAUGCAAGUCGAACGGCAGCAGACCUUCGGGUGCCGGCGAGUGGCGAACGGGUGAGUAAUGCAUCGGAACGUACCUUUCAGUGGGGGAUAACGUAGCGAAAGUUACGCUAAUACCGCAUAUUCUGUGAGCAGGAAAGCAGGGGAUCGCAAGACCUUGCGCUGAUUGAGCGGCCGAUGUCAGAUUAGCUAGUUGGUGAGGUAAAGGCUCACCAAGGCGACGAUCUGUAGCGGGUCUGAGAGGAUGAUCCGCCACACUGGAACUGAGACACGGUCCAGACUCCUACGGGAGGCAGCAGUGGGGAAUUUUGGACAAUGGGGGCAACCCUGAUCCAGCCAUGCCGCGUGAGUGAAGAAGGCCUUCGGGUUGUAAAGCUCUUUCGGCCGGGAAGAAAUCGCACGGGCUAAUACCCUGUGUGGAUGACGGUACCGGAAUAAGAAGCACCGGCUAACUACGUGCCAGCCGCCGCGGUAA